UACGGAAGGUCCGGGCGUUAUCCGGAUUUAUUGGGUUUAAAGGGAGCGCAGGCGGGAGCUUAAGCGUGACGUGAAAUGUAGCCGCUCAACGGCUGAACUGCGUCGCGAACUGGGUUUCUUGAGUGGGUACGACGUCAGCGGAAUUCGUGGUGUAGCGGUGAAAUGCUUAGAUAUCACGAAGAACCCCGAUUGCGAAGGCAGCUGACGAGUCCUCUACUGACGCUAAAGCUCGAAGGUGCGGGUAU
RNAcentral lists this ribosomal RNA (245 nucleotides) under uncultured Prevotella sp. RNAcentral describes it as "partial 16S ribosomal RNA". It matches the Rfam family "Bacterial small subunit ribosomal RNA", at positions 524 to 768 of the family's 1533-position model. Lineage: Bacteria; Pseudomonadati; Bacteroidota; Bacteroidia; Bacteroidales; Prevotellaceae. The record is from RNAcentral.